This 479-nucleotide ribosomal RNA is filed under the name uncultured bacterium. Its description in RNAcentral is "partial 16S ribosomal RNA". It matches the Rfam family "Bacterial small subunit ribosomal RNA", at positions 28 to 507 of the family's 1533-position model. The record is from RNAcentral.
GAUGAACGCUAGCGGGAGGCCUAACACAUGCAAGCCGAGCGGUAUUGUUUCUUCGGAAAUGAGAGAGCGGCGUACGGGUGCGUAACACGUGUGCAACCUGCCUUUAUCUGGGGGAUAGCCUUUCGAAAGGAAGAUUAAUACUCCAUAAUAUAUUGAACGGCAUCGUUUAAUAUUGAAAGCUCCUGCGGAUAGAGAUGGGCACGCGCAAGAUUAGCUAGUUGGUGAGGUAACGGCUCACCAAGGCGAUGAUCGUUAGGGGGCCUGAGAGGGUGAUCCCCCACACUGGUACUGAGACACGGACCAGACUCCUACGGGAGGCAGCAGUGAGGAAUAUUGGUCAAUGGGUGCAAGCCUGAACCAGCCAUCCCGCGUGAAGGACGACUGCCCUAUGGGUUGUAAACUUCUUUUGUAUAGGGAUAAACCUACCCUCGAGAGGGUAGCUGAAGGUACUAUACGAAUAAGCACCGGCUAACUCCGUG